This is a long non-coding RNA of Leopardus geoffroyi (Geoffroy's cat), 1138 nucleotides long. RefSeq lists it as uncharacterized. The record is from RefSeq and is a predicted model, not a curated record. NCBI's taxonomy places the organism in Eukaryota, Metazoa, Chordata, Mammalia, Carnivora, Felidae. The transcript is spliced from 3 exons.
UUUGCCUGAGUUUUUUUAUGAUUUUUUCCCUGGUGUUACAGAUUUGGAAGAAUAGCAGAAAUGCAAAAUGUUUCUCACUACAUCUCAUCAGGAGACAUCUGAUAUCAACCCAAUUAUCACUGGUGAUGUUAACCUUGACCACUUGACUGAGUUGUAUAUGCCAGGUUCUCCACUGUAAAAUUACCUUUUUUUUUUUUUUUUCUCCUUUCCACUCUCCAUUCAUUAGAGGUGAAUCACUAAAGCUGGUCACCAUUCCAGGGAUAGGGAAUUAAGCUCUACUUCCUGAAGGGAGAAGUAUCAAAACAUUUGUGCACCUACAUUAAAAUCACUAUAUAGUUAAUGCACAUCUGUGGGGAGAUACUUGGAGGCAAUGUGUACAUCCUGUUUCUCUGAAAAGUUUCACCCACUGAUUUUAGCUUUCAGAGGGGUCUUGCCUGCUGCAACUGUUACUGUGGCAUAGAUCUUUAUUUCUCUCAUUCUUUCUAUAUUGAUUAUUGAAGUUCUUAGAGGAAAGCCCACCCCUUCUCCUUCACGUAGGUAUUUAUCCAAUCAUUUAUUUAUAUCAGUACAGACUUAGGGCUAUUUACUUUGUUCUCUGUCAUAUAACCUGUAGUGUGCCUUUAUCCGUGGUUUUACCUUCUGAUUUCAGUUACCCGCAGUCAACCAGGGUCUGGAAACAGAUGAUUCUCCUUCUGACAUAAGGUCAGAAGGUCAAUAGUAGCCUAACGCUCUGUCACGGUGCCUACGUCAUUCACGUCACUUCACCUCAUCACGCAGGCAUUUUAUCAUCUCACAUCGUCACAAGAAGAAAGACAUCCACUGGGGAUCUUGGAUAACCCUUCCAUUGGAUAAUGGAAGGAUGAUUGCACUACCACUGUUUCAUUGUUCACAUCGUUCUAGCUUUUGCUAUGGUGCUAUGGGCAACUCUUUAAGAUGAUGAAGAGAUUCUGCCUCAAGAUGGCAGGAUCAAUUCCCGCCUGAGUUUCCAGACUGCUGGCCCAGCCUACAGGUCUCAGACUUGGAGUCCCAUGAUCACGUGAGCUAUGUACAAUCACAUACACCUGUGUGUAUGCCUGUGUAUGCACAUGUGUGUGCAUGUAUGCAUGUGAGUAUAUGUAUCUAUCUAUAUAUGUAUAUA